Molecule: ribosomal RNA, 584 nt
Filed under: uncultured Vagococcus sp.
Lineage: Bacteria; Bacillati; Bacillota; Bacilli; Lactobacillales; Enterococcaceae
Description: bacterial SSU rRNA
Rfam family: Bacterial small subunit ribosomal RNA
Source: RNAcentral
CGCCCUUAGAGUUUGAUCAUGGCUCAGGACGAACGCUGGCGGCGUGCCUAAUACAUGCAAGUCGAACGCAGCUUGCUUUGGUAAGAUGAGUGGCGAACGGGUGAGUAACACGUGGGUAACCUGCCUAUCAGAGGGGGAUAACACUUGGAAACAGGUGCUAAUACCGCAUAGAUUUCUUUCGCAUGAAAAGAGAGGAAAGACGUACGUGUCACUGAUAGAUGGACCCGCGGUGCAUUAGCUAGUUGGUGAGGUAACGGCUCACCAAGGCCAUGAUGCAUAGCCGACCUGAGAGGGUGAUCGGCCACACUGGGACUGAGACACGGCCCAGACUCCUACGGGAGGCAGCAGUAGGGAAUCUUCGGCAAUGGACGAAAGUCUGACCGAGCAACGCCGCGUGAGUGAAGAAGGUUUUCGGAUCGUAAAACUCUGUUGUUAGAGAAGAAUAGGUAGGAGUGACUUCCUGCCAUGACGGUAUCUAACCAGAAAGCCACGGCUAACUACGUGCCAGCAGCCGCGGUAAUACGUAGGUGGCAAGCGUUGUCCGGAUUUAUGGGCGUAAAGCGAGCGCAGGCGGUUCUUAAGUC